UAAAAAUUUAAAUUAUAAUAUUUAAGUAGUAUUAGUUAUGAUCUUGAAAUUUAAAGAAUUUGGCGGUAUUUUAGACUAUUCAGAGGAACCUGUUUUUUAAUCGAUAAUCCACGAUGUAUCUUACUUAAAUUUGUUUUUAUAGUUUAUAUAUCGUCGUUUAUUGAAUAUUUUAUAAAAAUAAUAAUUUUCUUAAUUUUAUAUAGGAAAAUAUAUCAGAUCAAGAUGUAGCUUAUAUUUAAGUAUAUAAUGGGUUACAUUUAUUAUAUUAUUGGAUUUAAGUUUGUAAAUUUAUUUAUUGAAAUUGGAUUUGAUAGUAAAUUUAUAAAGAUUAAUAAUUUGAUUAGAGCUCUAAAAUAUG
Molecule: ribosomal RNA, 358 nt
Filed under: Dasydorylas filiformis
Lineage: Eukaryota; Metazoa; Arthropoda; Insecta; Diptera; Pipunculidae
Description: partial 12S ribosomal RNA
Source: RNAcentral